ACUAAAAGCUCUCAAAAUUACACUCAAGAUUAUUCUGUGACCUGAUGGAUACUUGGACGCUCACUUACUAGCACCUGCUUCUUCAUGUUUAUGAUAUAAUGAAAGUAGACUGAAAAUGGAGAACAGAUACUGGUUAUUCUGUGAACCUCCAGUAUUGUCUAUAACCCUUUUACCAAGUGAUUUGAUUUCAUUGUGUCACCUGGAAGGAAAGGGAUCCAGGAGUACAAAUGCUACCAUCAGGAACUGUUUCCAUCUGGGGCGAGUGGGAUAGAAUACUCUGAUGUGGAUCUUAAACCUGAGGUAAUGACAGCUAAAAGUUCGUC
Chinchilla lanigera (long-tailed chinchilla) is the source of this 323-nucleotide long non-coding RNA. RefSeq lists it as uncharacterized. The record is from RefSeq and is a predicted model, not a curated record. The transcript is spliced from 3 exons. Lineage: Eukaryota; Metazoa; Chordata; Mammalia; Rodentia; Chinchillidae.